RNAcentral lists this ribosomal RNA (497 nucleotides) under uncultured bacterium. Its description in RNAcentral is "partial 16S ribosomal RNA". It matches the Rfam family "Bacterial small subunit ribosomal RNA", at positions 28 to 507 of the family's 1533-position model. The record is from RNAcentral.
GAUGAACGCUGGCGGCGUGCCUAAUACAUGCAAGUCGAGCGAACGGACGAGAAGCUUGCUUUUCUGAUGUUAGCGACGGGCGGGUGAGUAACACGUGGAUAACCUACCUAUAAGACUGGGAUAACUUCGGGAAACCGGAGCUAAUACCGGAUAAUAUUUUGAACCGCAUGGUUCAAAAGUGAAAGACGGUCUUGCUGUCACUUAUAGAUGGAUCCGCGCUGCAUUAGCUAGUUGGUAAGGUAACGGCUUACCAAAGCAACGAUGCAUAGCCGACCUGAGAGGGUGAUCGGCCACACUGGAACUGAGACACGGUCCAGACUCCUACGGGAGGCAGCAGUAGGGAAUCUUCCGCAAUGGGCGAAAGCCUGACGGAGCAACGCCGCGUGAGUGAUGAAGGUCUUCGGAUCGUAAAACUCUGUUAUUAGGGAAGAACAUAUGUGUAAGUAACUGUGCACAUCUUGACGGUACCUAAUCAGAAAGCCACGGCUAACUACGUG